Molecule: ribosomal RNA, 350 nt
Filed under: uncultured bacterium
Lineage: Bacteria
Description: bacterial SSU rRNA
Rfam family: Bacterial small subunit ribosomal RNA
Source: RNAcentral
UGGGGAAUAUUGGACAAUGGGCGCAAGCCUGAUCCAGCCAUGCCGCGUGAGUGAAGAAGGCCUUCGGGUUGUAAAGCUCUUUCAGCGGGGACGAUGAUGACGGUACCCGCAGAAGAAGCCCCGGCUAACUUCGUGCCAGCAGCCGCGGUAAUACGAAGGGGCUAGCGUUGUUCGGAAUUACUGGGCGUAAAGCGCGCGUAGGCGGCUUUGUCAGUCAGGGGUGAAAUCCCGGGGCUCAACCCCGGAACGGCCUUUGAUACUGCAAGGCUUGAGUCCGUGAGAGGAUGGUGGAAUACCCAGUGUAGAGGUGAAAUUCGUAGAUAUUGGGUGGAACACCGGUGGCGAAGGCG